UCCAGCGAGUGUGAUGUGCCAAAAAGGGAGUAGAACAAGACAUGCUGUCAUUGAAAGCUCCCCUCCCCACAUCGUCUCGCACUGCUUGUUGCUGUUCUUCUUUCAGUUGUUGGGAGAACUUGAAGCUGUUU
Syngnathus acus (greater pipefish) is the source of this 131-nucleotide long non-coding RNA. RefSeq lists it as uncharacterized. NCBI's taxonomy places the organism in Eukaryota, Metazoa, Chordata, Actinopteri, Syngnathiformes, Syngnathidae. The record is from RefSeq and is a predicted model, not a curated record. The transcript is spliced from 2 exons.